RNAcentral lists this ribosomal RNA (429 nucleotides) under Acidobacteriota bacterium. RNAcentral describes it as "Acidobacteria bacterium partial 16S ribosomal RNA". It matches the Rfam family "Bacterial small subunit ribosomal RNA", at positions 355 to 776 of the family's 1533-position model. Lineage: Bacteria; Pseudomonadati; Acidobacteriota. The record is from RNAcentral.
UGGGGAAUUUUGGACAAUGGGGGAAACCCUGAUCCAGCCAUCCCGCGUGUGCGAUGAAGGCCUUCGGGUUGUAAAGCACUUUUGGCAGGAAAGAAACGUCAUGGGUUAAUACCCCGUGAAACUGACGGUACCUGCAGAAUAAGCACCGGCUAACUACGUGCCAGCAGCCGCGGUAAUACGUAGGGUGCAAGCGUUAAUCGGAAUUACUGGGCGUAAAGCGUGCGCAGGCGGUUCGGAAAGAAAGAUGUGAAAUCCCAGAGCUCAACUUUGGAACUGCAUUUUUAACUACCGGGCUAGAGUGUGUCAGAGGGAGGUUGAAUUCCGCGUGUAGCAGUGAAAUGCGUAGAUAUGCGGAGGAACACCGAUGGCGAAGGCAGCCUCCUGGCAUAACACUGACGCUCAUGCACGAAAGCGUGGGGAGCAAACAGG